RNAcentral lists this long non-coding RNA (14277 nucleotides) under Lactuca sativa (garden lettuce). RNAcentral describes it as "long non-coding RNA (LSAT_LNC007586)". Lineage: Eukaryota; Viridiplantae; Streptophyta; Magnoliopsida; Asterales; Asteraceae. The record is from RNAcentral.
CGUGACCAAGGCCCAUAAUAUCGGCCAUCACCUCUGUUACAAAACAAUUUAUGAUUAUAAAUAACUAUAUUUAAUAUCUAAAUUAAUAAUAGAAUAUUUAAUUUAAUAGUUUUACAAAGCAAUUUAUGAUUAUGAAUAAUUUUAAAACUAAAAUACCACAUAAAUAUUAAAUUUGAUUUGAAAAUUACUCUUUGUAAUAUACACACUUUGUUUUUCACACAUUACAUACAUAGAUACACACACUAUACAUACAAAUACAUAUAAACAUUUUCCUACACAUAUUCAUUAUAGCAUCAUACUUCUUUUUCUAUUAUAACAACCUAAUUCCAAAUAAUAAUCAUACAAAAAACACACAAAAACAUAAAAAUACCACAUAAAUAUUAAAUUUGAUUUGAAAAUUACACUUUGUAAUAUACACCCUUUGUUUUUCACACAUUACAUACAUAGAUACACACACUGUACAUACAAAUACAUAUAAACAUUUUCUUACACAUAUUAAUUAUAGCAUAAUACUUAUUUUUCUAUUAUAGCAACCUAAUUCCAAAUAAUAACCAUACAAAAAACACACAAAAACAUACAAAUAACACACAAACAGAUUUCCGGCGACAAUUCAUUCCAAAUUCCAAACCAAAUAAUACCAUACAAAUAACAUACAAAAACAUACAAAUCAAAAAUAUAAUUUCAAAAGUCAUGAAAAGGAACAUGUGGUAGUGUAAUUUAGUGAUUUUCCGGUAAGAAAUCCAGUUUUCCGGCAACAAUUCCGGCAAUAGAUUCGACAGAAGUAGAUUUUCCGACAAGGGUUCAAAAAACAUUAAAGUAAACACUUAAACCAGUAAAGAAAACUUCAAAACAGAAGUUGAAUAGAAAAUAGGGAAGAAAUCAGACCUUAAAUCGAACUUUUGUCGCAGGAAAUGAGUGUGGUCGCCGGUAAUAAUGGAGCUCCACCAGUGGCCGGCAGUAAUGGUUGCCGGAGACGAGUCACGUGGCGCAAACGAGGUCGUCAUCGGAGGUGCAGUCGCCGAUUAUCGUUAGAGGAGUGAAAGGAAGCAGAACGAACAGGAAAGUGACGCAGUGGGGGGUAUCUGCGACGAGUAUUAGCUGCGAUGCGUAUUAGCGGCGACGCUAGGGUUUUAGCGGCGACAAUAGGGUAUUAGCAACGACACCCCUGGAGGGAAAAUAUAGCGCCCUUUUUCCUCAUUUCCCACCGUUGGAUGAAAAGCAGAUCGAAUGGAUAUGGUUAAUUUGACGUGGAUCGACACCGUAGCAUCAUUAGCGGCGACACCAGCUAUUAGCAGCGAAACCAAAUCCCUAAAAAAUUCAAGUACCCCGCCUUCCCCAAAAAUCGAACCUCACAAUAUCUUUCAUGGAGUCGGUGAUUGGGGGUCUACGACUCCUCAAUCGCAUUCAUUUUCACUAUUGUUGGUUCAUUAGCCAAUUAUCAACCACUGCUCGCAGCACUUGGUCGUCGUCAGUUUUCCAUUUCCACCGACAAUUAUGCCAAGAGAAACUACGCCAACAAUGUGUCUGAAUACAGUACCGUCAUUCGAUCUCUCACUUCUCAAAGAAGGUAUGUCUCUCACCGCUCUUUUUUUCAUUUCUUACUUAAUCAACAGCAGCACACCCUUUUUCACUCCACUCUUUCUCUCUAUACAAACAACCAAGAAGCAGCAACAGCAGCACAAGAAAGAUGGGAGAAGGAAAAGGCUCAUCCUUAGUUCAUCUUCUAGUUAUCAUCUUAUGUUUAGUUGCUUUUGGUUUCACCAUUGUCGCCAUAGCACCGUACUUUCUCUUUCUCUCAUCUAAAUUUGAUCUGUUUAUGUUGAUUUCAUCUGUAAGCUAGGGUUUUCUGCUCGAUUCCUCCAUUCGCAUUUAUUUUCUCAUGUUUGGUACAUGAUUGAAGGUUGAAGGAGCCAUGGAACACUCGUACAGCUACUAUUCUGGUUAUAAUGGGACAGACCAGGUAUAUUCAAUUUCUCAACUAGAACGUGUGUGUGUGUGUAGUGAAGUUAGUUACAUAAAUUUUGUUCAUUUUUUGAUGUUGUUCCUAACUUUUGAAGGCUUCUGGAGCUUAUAUCUUCCUUCCCAAUGCCACAUUUCCAAUAAAAUCUCAAGGGCAGGUAAACCAUACUCUUUUGGGGUAGUUAUCUACUACUGUUGUCUGUUGCAAGUGACUAACGAUUUCUUUUUGUUACAGAAAGCUUUUACUAUCAUAAGGGGUCCACUAAUGGAUGAAGUGCACCAAUAGUUAAACUCCUGGAUAUAUCAGGUCACCUGUGUAUACAAGGAGAAGGAACAUGUUGAUGUUGAGUUUAUCGUAAGAAUUUUAUUCCUUUUUGAUUUAAUGUAGUUGUAGCAGUUUCUCGUUGACACUUGACCAGAAUGUGUGUGUGUGUGUAUUCUCUAAUUACAUAUCUUAUUUUUGGUACUAUCAGAUUGUACCUAUCCCUAUAGAUGAUGGUGUUGGGAAAGAAAUAACAACUCAGAUCACAAGUGCCUUGAAGACAAACAAAACACUCUAUAUGGAUUCUAACAGGAAAGACUUCAUUAAAAGGGUAUAUACGUUAUAGAAUAUUGUUUCUGUACUUGUCUCGCACAUGAUAAAAUUUACUGUUUUGCAGGUUCAUGAUUUCAGAACAGAUUGGGAGCUGCAAGUGAAUGAACCAGUUGCUGGAAAUUAUUACCCAGUACGUGUUCACAUGUCAUCAUUGUAGUGUUUUUUAUGAAUUAAGUAAUAAAAUGAUUUGGUUAGAUAAAUCUUGUAUGAUCUAAUAAUCUUUUAUUCUUUUUGGCUACAUCACCUAAUAUUUUUCUUUUUGUGCUCUGUUUGUAUGAUCAAUUCUGCAAAUGCUUAUUAUGGAGAUUCCUGUAAGUAUUAGUUCAAACUCAUUAUGAUUUUCUUGAAAAUAUUGUUGUAACCAUUGUUCAUUUUUCAAUAUGAAUGACUCUACUUUGUAUUUUAUUUAUUUGUUUUUGUUUUAUCAGAAGGUUGGAAUUGAACUGAUUGUUAACAAGGCAGAAUUUCCUAAGCACCAAUGUGCAAAUGUUAUAGUGGCAAAUGAGUGCAUUGAUUUACCUUCAGAAACAAAUGUUGAAGGCCUCAAGUCGGGCCUUGUGGAUUAUGUUCUCAAGCAUGGGAAUAAAAAAGAUAGUAUAUGCCAUUCUUGCUUUACAAUCGAGUAAGUUGUAUGUGGAUAAGAUCUAGUUAAGGUAGCUGUGUUAUUCAGAUUACCUGAUUAUUAUUGACCACACAUUUUCAUCCUGUUGCAUUAAUGCUUUUUUUUAGGGAUCACUUGAAAGUAGGAAGUAGGGAGGUCUAGAAAAGUUAUAGGGAUACUAAAACAACAAUAGAAUCUAUGAGAACCUUUUGAACCUUGUGUUCUUUUUUUAUAAGAAAUUGAAAUAAUGUGAUCUAAUGUAUUUUGAUUUGUUUCUAUUGUAUUAAACAGAACCAUAUAGUGGGUAUACGGUUGACCAAAUUAAUCCAUUUGACGCAAUUUCUUCUUUUAGGAGGUGAUUGAAAUUGCUAAACCGUUUUUAAAUGAAGGGGAGAAUGUAAAAAGUAUAGUAGCUCAAACAGUGCCUCUUAUUACCGCUCCUGUCAUUGUAAGUUUUACCUUCUUUAAUAACAUUAUUUAUAAAUUUGGAGGUACAUUAAAUAUAAUCUUUUGUAUUUUUUAUUUUUUAUUUACUUAACAGUUUUGUAUUAUUUUUUCAAAGGCUCUAUCGAAAGGUAUAUAUAACUAACAUAUAUAGCAACUUACUUUGAUUUGUUUUAAUUUUUAUCUAAUGUGUUUUUUUAUACUAUUACAGGUCAGGCACGAUACUUCUAGGACCAAACAACCAGUAUCUCACUAAAAUUGUUUUUAUAUUUGCUAAGGUUAGUUGUUUUUUUUUUUGGAAAAUUAAUAGAGGGCAAAGUUGUCAUUUCAGAUGUUUACUAAUGUUGGUAUAUGUUAUGUGUCUGUGUUUGUGUAAAAUAACAACACUAGUUGUACAGAUUUUCAAUAGUUAUAGUCUAUUAUUACCUUAUAUGAAAAUAGUUAUACAAUAUGGUAUUUUAAACCCCAUGACCUAAUUUGUAAUUUUUUUUAUUUAAAAAGCUACUAAUCAUAAUUAUCUCAUAUUAUUUUGGUUUUUUGAAGGGUGAUUGUACACGAAGUAGUAUGUUAAAAUUUGGUUGCCAGGUACUUUCAACCUCAUUACACGAUUCUUAAAGUUAUUUUUUUUUUUUAUUUUUGGCUUAUUUUUAAAUAUUGGGAUUUGUUGGUUUAUGUGAAUCCGAUGGUUGCACUAUUUAAAUUUGUAGGUCUUGUUGAUGUACAUAGUGUCAAGAAAAGUAGCUUGGGUGUUCUGAAGGUGGCAACUAGUUCUUGUAGUUCAACUAUUAUUGGUUGAUGACUUUCAUCUCUUUCACAUUUGAUGUAUUACAUUUGUCUACUAUUGGAAUGAUUAUUUGUAUGACACUAACUUUUGUNAUAUAUAUAUAUAUAUAUAUAUUUAAAUAUAAAAUUACGAUACGCAAAAAUGUGUGUCAUCUUCAAUUAUGACAUGGCCUUUCUUGACAGCGGUUUUAAUGAUACGCAUUGCAUGUCAUAAAUGCAUGUAGUAAAUGCGCGUCGUCUAUACACGACACACAAAAGCGUGUCGUCUUUCGUUAUGAUAGGGUCUUCCUUGACAAGCAUUUGCGCGUCGUCUGAGCGUUUUACGACACGCAUUGUGUGACAACCUGGAAUUUUCAUUCGUACAAACUCUAAAGUCAAUAACUUCGAUUCAAAGUCAAUUACAUUUUAAUAGUUGUUAGCCAAUUUAAAAGUUUGUUUGAUUGUUAUAAUUAUUUAUUCUUCAAACGAACGAAGGAAAUGAUGUACCUUCUCGGGUCUUGAAGUAGCAAACCCACCCAAUGCACCCUAAUAAAGAGUUUACGGGCAAAAAUUUUAGAGUUUGGGCCGUAAACUCUUGUGUGGCCAUGAACAUAUGCCUUAGGCAUGAGUUUACUCCCCAAACUCCUCAUUUCUCACUUCCACCCUCAAGUUUACUCCUCGUUCUCUCUCAACUAUCAUCCCGUUCUUCGUUCGAUCUUCCGAAAACGUAAGUGUUUCUCGACUUGAUUUGUUGUUAUACCCUAUCACCUAGUGUUUAUACGUCAUUUCAUCCAUUCAUUAUUGCUUUUCAACUAGAUCUUCAAGUGUUCUUCAAAACACCAAGAACACCAAGAGCACACACUAGUGUUCUUCGACCUUAAACACCCAAUCGAGCUUCUAUCUUGUAAGUACACUUUCCUUAGCUUCUUGUGUGCUUAGUAUGCUCUUAAUAACACUUCAAAAUCAUCAAGAAUCAUAAGAACAAAGGAGUUUACGGCCGAGGAUGUUCUUGGGCCGUAAACCCCUCUUAAGGUGGCUAAAUGGACCCUACUUCCUUCCUAAGCCUUGGAUGCCAACCUUGAUCCUUCUUAGAAGCGUUUAAGACCUUAAACAACAAUCAAAACAAGUCCCCAUGAGAGUUUACAGUCGUAAACACCUAAGGAAGUGGUCCUUAGUCUGUGAAAUCUACAAGAAAUGGUUAGUGUGCCCCUAAUGAUUUCCUAAGGCUUGGACUUGAUCAUCGGAAGCUCAAUCAUGACUUGUAAGACCUCAAAAAACAAUUUGGCACAUAGUACCAUGAGUUUACGGCCAUAAAAUUAUGGGGAAAUGGUCAUGGGCCAUAAAAUCCAUAAGGAGUGGUCCUUGGGCCAUAAACUCCAAUGCCAUGCCAUAUAAUCCUUAGAUGCAACCCUUUGGUACCUAUAGCACUUUAUUCAAAGUGUUUCCAUGUCCUAGGGUGUCUUAACUUGAUUAAUUAGUUGUUAAGUGUCUAAUUAGAUACAUAUAUGUUUAUUAUCUGUUAACUAGGAUCAUUGUGUGUGUUCAAGUCUUCACUUGACACCUAGCACCUUGUCCAACACUUACGAACAAACCACUCACUACAGGUGAGUUCAUACCCCUUAAUUAACCUUUUAAAUGUUUUGAAAUGUUUAUAAAUGCUUUUAUGGGGGGGAUACAACUUGAAUCAUGUUAGUUAUUAUAUCAAUCGCAUGUGAUUAAUAACUAGCAUACAAAUGGAUUUACUACACUUUUAGCUGUUUUACCAAACAUAUUACUUCAAAUGGCUUUCUCAAACGUUUUUACAUGUUAAAACUCUUUAUAAAACUGUCUUGUCAAACAAACUACUUUCAAAUCGUUUUUAUAAACUGAUAUCAAGUCAUGAACUCUUAUUUAUUAAACUUUUCAAAGGUUUUACCAAAACUUCUUUUAUACUUUUAUAUUGUAAAUUGCAUGCCUAUAUAUGUAUAGUUAUAUAAGUAAUGUUUAAAAGACUUAGGACGGCUAGCUCGCUUUAUUUCCUUUUCAACGUUGGGAUGUGGCCUUAGGGUAUCGGUUAUUCGUCCGAAUGUCGUCUAACUAUUAGUUUUAUAUCAUGUAUACCUAGAUAGACAUAAAAGUUCUAUCAGUCAAUUCAGUACCUUUGGGUAGCAAAGACAUACUUUCGGUUAUUCACUUACAUUACUAGUAACUAUAAUAGGUAUAGUUAGGAGAUACUAUUUACUAUUCCUAGUACAAUUGUUAAAAGCAUGUCUAUAUAUGUAUAAUUAUAUAAAUAAUGUUUGAAGGACUUAGAACUGCUAACUGGCCUUGUUUCCAUUUCCUCAUUGGGAUGUGGCCUUAGGGUGUAGGUUAGUUGUCUGAAUGUCGUCUUAAUAUUAGUUAUAUAUUAUGUAUACAUAUAUAGAUAUAAAGGUUCUAAUCAGUCAGUUUAGCACCUUUGAGUAGCAAAGGUAUACAUUCAUAUAUUUCUAGUAAACUAUUAUUUGUAUAGUUUUGGGUAUANUAUAUAUAUAUAUAUAUGAUAACAUAAAUGUGGAUUUCAACCUAGUGAUUUAUUGCGGAAGUCACCUUUAGUUUCCCAGAAUCUCUUCUAAGGAGAACUUUUAGUAUGGGGACUAUCAAUCACAUUAUUACUUACUUUCAGCGGGUCUUGUGAGAAGACUACUUACUUACAGCGGGUCUCAUGAGAAGACUUCUUACUUACAGCGAGUCUCGUGAGAAGACUACUUACUUACAGCAGGUCUCGUGAGAAGACUACUUACUUACUUUCAGUGAGUCUCGUUAGAAGACUAUUAACUUACUUUCAAUUGGGGUCUUGGUAGAAGACUAUUUUUUAUACUAGUAGGAAAUAUGGGAUUUUCUAGGGUUUUCAUACUUAUACACACCUUUCCUCAAAACAAUUACAAGUCUUUUAUUACAAGUUUUAUUCACAAAUAAUGACAUUAAAUACUUAUGAAUUCACCAACUUUAUGCUGAUACUCACUUUCAAAAUAACUUGUAUUCUCAGGUCACCAAUAGACGGAUACGAUGACUAGGUUUUGUGAAGACGGAGCAGACAAGACUCGUCUUUUAUUUUGAAUAUUCAUUUUAUUGUUAUUCUAUGAAAAAAGACACUUGUAUUUAAAAUUAACUAUUAAUGCAAUGAAUGAUGUUGUUGCUUGUUUACUAAUUUGCAUUGUUGUGAUACUUUACAUGACGUCCUCCGCCCAAAACGUUUCCACCGUUCCUGGUUUUGGGGUGUGAUACAUUGCGCAUCGUAAAAGACUGUUUUUUUAGUAGUGGGGGGAAUGUAAGUGAUUAGGGUUUAGGCUCAUGCCCUUUUGGGUUUAGCCAUUAGGGUUUAGGUAUUCUCUAUAUACUUUUAUGUAAUUGUCUUUUAAAAAUCAAUCAAUCUGUUAUUUAACAGAUUGCUCGACGAUGGAACUUCACGAUCCAAGGUUUGCAAAUUUUUCGAAGUUAAUUGCGUAGAAGAAGCACCUUAUGUUGGAUGAUUUGAAGGUUUUGUAAUGACACGAUAUUUGAAACGGUUAAAAAAAAAAGGAAGACCACCGACUUUAAAUUUAUUGUGUCAAAAUCCUAUUCUUUUAUAUUUUAUAAUAGGAUAUUUAAGCUUAAAGUUAAUUGGGUUGGUUGGUUUAGAAACCAUAUUUAUUCUAUGAACUGUGUAAUUGUUUGUUUCUUCAUUGCACCUUGUUAGGGUUUAAUACAAUUCUGCUGGUCCAAAAAAAUGUGUUAAGAAUUUUGUUAAUCAUAAAUAAUACGUAUCUGCUAAUUCAUUUGUUAUUUUCAUCAGAUUUAUGUUAUCUAUAGAAUUCGUUUCGUUGUGGUUGAGGAAAAUAAGCUAUUGAAUUGCAGUGGCCUCAGAAUAAUCUGGUGGUGAUAUUGCCGUCUGUAUGGAGAAUGCCAAGAUAGUCAUACAUCAUUGCUUAUGUCAAUAUAGUUUUCUAGAAGGAUAUACAUACAUAUCAUGGACAAUUAUUAUUUGGGGUUAGCAGAGUUGUGAUAGGAAAUAAAUAAAUAAAAACUAUCUACAUAAUAUUUAUAGUCACAGUGUGUUCAUGGGCCAUUUUAUGUCAACCUUUUAUAUAUACUAUUUAAACUUUACAUUGUUCUGCUGUUUGGUUUAUAUUUACAAAAAUGUUUCUUUUUCCUUUCAAAUGACCUAAACAAACUUUAGGGAGACAUAGAAUGUUUUUGGAAAUAAUAAAAUUUGUCAAAUGACUAAAAAUCUUAAAGAAAAUUGGAAAACAAGAAUUGAAAUUUGUAAACUCUUUGGUUGACAAAGUCCUUUUAUUUAUUUAUUUACUUUUAUUUAUUUAUUUACUAGGUUUAAAACCCAUAGAAACCAUGGAAACCACAGUUGAUAUGAUUAAAUAUUUUGUAUAGACAAAAGAAAUAAUAAUUGUAAAGGAAAGCAUGAGAUUCUCCAUGGUAAGUGAAAUUAAUUCAAAAUAUUUUAUCAAUUUCAAAUUUUACAAUAAGAUAGGAUUUGUAUUUUGAUAUUAACUAGAUUAUAGUCCGCGUUAAACGUGGGAAACGCAUAAAAAAACAUAUAAUCGUUCAUAGAUAUUGUAUAAUGAUUAUAAAAAAAUAUAUGGUUAUUGGUAUUAUUGAAAUGGUAGAAAAUACAUUGAAAACGAUAAAUAUAUAUAAUCAUUGAAACAUCUCUUUGUAGACAUCAUUUUUUGUUUUAUUAGUUGAACGACUUUCCUCAUCUUAUAUAGUUAUGAUAUUUAUAUAUUUAUAAGCAUUUUAAUUAGACGUUCCUUGCAUAAUAAUGUUACCUAAUUUAAACAUAUUUUGACAACCAAUAUACCGUUUUUUCUAUUGCAUUAAAUAUUGACAACUAUUUUAUUUAUUCAAAUAAAGUUAUGUAAUAUAAUUUAUAAAAUGUUAAAUGGUAUAUAUAUUUAAUUUUAAUAUAUCAUCAAUGGAGAUUCUUUUCUAAAUCAUGAUUGGUUUAUUUUAAAUUGAUUAUAAAUAUAAAUGCUAGCUUUUAUGUUUGUUCUUAUUUAUUUAGUGUUCGCAAGAACUUUGCAUUAGUUUUGGCGCAACUUUGAAUAAUUUUAGUAUAUUAUCAAUGUAAUUUGAUAUAUCUGUCAAUUAUAUGAAAUAUCAAAUAAUGACAUUUCAUUAUUAUUAUGAUAAUUUAGUUUAUAUAUUGUAUUUUCACUAAUCUUAACGGUCUUAUUUUUUCUAAUAACCGUAACGCUUUUACUAAAUGUACUUUUUACAAAUCUCCUAAUAUCUUAUAAUUUUUAUCUUACUUUAUAAUUUUUCAUAACUAUGUUAUUUUCAAGAUUGACUGCUUUAAUAGUGUUUUUUUUCAGUCUAUUCAAUUUUAUAUUUCAUUGUACAACAUCAUCGUUUGUAUGUAUUCUGAAAUUUCACUUUAAAAAUGUUUAAUGUUUACACCUUGAUAUUAAUUUUUUUAAUAAACUCAUGUAAUAAUUAUGGAAUAUAUAUCUCAUUUUAAUUAACAUUCACUUCCUUUAUUAUAUCAAAUUCCUCAUUAAACGGAUAUACUUUUGGAAAAUAAUAAUUAUAAUAGGGCAGCAUUAUCUAAGACGUAAAUGUUUGAUAUACUUUUGGAGAAAAAAAAAUCAGGAUCAUUAAAAAAAAUUAUAUAAAGAAAAUACAAAUUUAAAUUUGUUGAAAUUAUGGAUGAAAUUACUGGCGAAAAUUUAUUUUGGAGGGAGUUGUAUUUUGUAAGGUAUAAUAAUAUUACAAAAUUUGAAAUAUCUAUAUUUGUUGUGUAAAUUAAUAAAUUUUAUUGUUACUAUACAAAGAUAAAAAAGUAGGUUGAUAUGAUAUACAAAAACAUAAUAAUUUCAAUGAUAUUUUAAAAUCAUGCCAAAAUUAACCGGAUUCUUAUGACAUAAAAAUUAAAAAAAAAAUCAUAAUCAUCUCUAAUAUAUAAAAGUAACAUUUUCGUAAUUAAUGUCAGUUCCCAAGAUAGUUAACUUUUGUUUUGUUAAAUGCACCUAAUAUCUUUUCAUGUUUAUUUGAAAAGUUUCAGAAAAGUAGUGAACUGAUUUCAUGUAAUUUGUGACAAAGAAAAUCGAAAUAUAUGAAUACAUACAUUUGAUAUAGGAACAAAAAAUAAUCGAAAAAAAUAUAAAAAACGAAAGAAGGUACUGACCUUCUAGCGCACAAGAGCGAAUAUUUAUAGCAGAGAAUGAUGAUGGAAGUUAUAAGCAAUAUUAACGAUGUUGUAGGAGAAGGUUUGAAGAAAAGAAACGAUUGAAAAUAAAUGUGAGUCGCGGAUUCAAUGAUGAAUCGUAUAUGUAUGUGAUAAUUUGAAUAUAAUUUUUCGGUAUUAAUGAUUUUCUAAUAAAAAAGAUUUUAUAUUAAUGAUUUACUAAUAUAAACGGAUUUAUAUUAAUGGUUGAUAUUAAGCCUUGAUUGAAAUUAUUUGCUAGUAAUAUGUUUUUAAAAUUGUUGAUAUUAAAAUCUUCAUAACUGAAAAUUCAAGAUAUAAAAUAUGGAAAGUUUUCAUUGGAAUUAAAUACAUUCCAUUUCAACGAAUGGAAGUUAUUGAUUGAUGAUUGGAAAACAUUUAUUGGAAUUAAAUACAUUCCAUAUGGGGAAGAUGAUGUCAGCAAUAUGAUUUAAGGGUGGAAAAAAUAAGAUUGAAAUACAAUUAAUGAUCCAGAUUAUUUAAGAUGAUGUCAUAAGGUUUCUAUUUUAAUAAUAUUUAAGAUUGAAAUCCUGAAAAAUUUAUAAGGUUAUUAUUUUAUCAAUUUCAAAAUUCAAAAUAAGAUUGGAUUUGUAUUUUAAAACUGAACGGCAUUUUCUAUUGUUACCAAAAAAAUGGAAUUAAUUAGAGUAUAUUUUAUAUAAUUUCGGGGUUACUAUUAAUAAUUCUGGAUUUAUGAUUUGGAAAUGGAGGAAUUAAAGAAAUUUCAAUAAAAGAUAUGAAUUGUAUUUAAAAAAAAUGAACGGUCGUUGAUAUUGUAUCCAAACAAAGUGGACCUAGUUAAAGGAAUUAAAUGUAUUUUUUGAUAUAAUUGUGGAUUUAUGAUUUAUUUUUUGUAAAAUAAAAGAUUUAUUUAGAAAUGUCACGUGGCAAUAUGAAAUGGUAGAAAUGGGACAUAUGGCAUAUCAUGUUUUUGUUUAUUAGGAGAGGGAGAUUUAUUAGAGUUAUCAAAUGAAUUAGAAAGUAAAUUAUGUAUAAUUGCUACGGAUAAAACCAAUUAACAAAUAUUUUGCAUUGGAACCCAUUUAGUUCGAUUUUUGAAUGGUUACAAAAUUGACCAAAAAAUAAUAUUAAAUUUACUAUUUAUUAACAACUAGGUGGUGAACCCAUGCUAUGCAUGGGUUAAGAGGUGUUACAUUUUUUUUGAAUUUUUUUUUGUUGGGGUGAAAUGCCCAUAAAAAUGAAGACAAUAUAUCAUGACAAAAUAACCAUGACUUUCCUCUCGCAACCACACAUGCAUAUCCAGAUAAAAAAAUAAAAUAAGAAAAAAUAAACAAAAUAAGCAAUAUGAAAAUACAUUGCCAUUUCUAGCAUUCAUCCUAAUCAAUGACUAAAUGCAAGAAGUGCCAAUGUACUUUCAUUUUACAGUUUAAUAUGACAUGUUAAUUUUAAAUAGCAAUGCACUUUCAUUUCUAAAUGAAAGCAAGUUACUACAUUAGACAUUAUAGUAAUUUAAAAAAAAAAAACAAAAUUAAGAAAUAUAAAUCAAAGUAAGGUGCUAUAUUAAACAAUAAAAUGAAAGUACGUUGCUAAUUCUAGCAUGUAGCCCGAUGAAUUGUAUUUAUGUGCUUCGCUAGAAUAAUAGUGAAAAGAAUAUUGUGUUUGUUUCUAUUAUGUUUUAUCGUGUUUGUAUAAAUUUAAUCUGUUUCACCAUCAUUGUGAUUAUUCUUGCAGGGACGGAAUGGUAAUUUUUUAAAAUAAAUGGAAUAGCAAUCCAAAUAAAUGUUUUCAGUUACAAAAUCAAUGUUUAUAACUGAAAAGUAACAUACUAAUAAAUAAAUUUUAGUAUGAAAUUUAACCUGUUGGAAUUGCAUCUUAGGAUAAAGUCCAAGUUUUCUAUUUGUCGUUAAAAGCUUCUUCAACAUGUCCCAAAAUCCACAUCAGGGUUCAAGCUCUUUCCACAAUCAUAUAUGAUGUCCUCUUGCAAAUUUUGGUUUCUCCAGUCUAAAGUUUUACUUCCACCUGUUUUUCCUACAAAAACAACAUUUUUUUAGUCACCUCGGGGUUAAACCUAUAAAAAGAGUAAAAUAUUUAAUAAAAUUAAAGUUUGAUGCUAUAGUUAUAAAAAGUGGUAAAUUUUUUUUAUAGAUCUGAUAUGGACAAUUUCAAUAUAAAAAUAUAAGUUAGAAGGUGUUGUUGUUUGAUUUACUUUGUCACAACUUCCCUACCUUUCAUAUUAGAUAUCCAUAAAGAUGUCCUAAAGAUCACAUACUUUCUCUUUCUUCCCAUCAACAACCACUUGUAAAAAAUCGUUGAUUAUACUGUCAAAACUCACAAAAAACAACUGAAAUAGAUAUCUUUAAUAAUAAAAACUAUGCAGAUAAAUUAUUGAUGUUGAAGCCCUUAUGUUAUUUACCAAAACUUAAUUAAAUAUAGAAUUUUCAGGCAAAAAGUAAGUGUAAAGAACACAGAAAACACUAAAACCAUAGAUUCAAACUACGUGUUAAUAAAGUAAGAACCAAACCAACAAAAUAUUGGUCCCAAUUGAGAAUUAAGCAGCAAAAGAACAAAAAGAAAAGAACCAAUUUUCUUUCGGCUCCCUUUUUUGUUGCCCAUUAGUCUGAGAAGGAAUAAGAUAAAAAAAUUACACCAGAAACCUUCCUUUUCAAAUGAUGUGUGUCAAUCUCUUCUGCAAAUGGGUACUCUACAGCUCCCUUUCUUCGCUCUGCUACAUCUUUUUACAGCGAAAACAACAAAUUAAGAUUCGAUGUGGAAACAAAGUUGAAUAUACACAACCCAAAUUAUCGUAGGGAAACAAUGGUUUGUCUUCAAGCCUUUAGAUGUCGGACUCAACUCCAAAAACGAAACCGGAAAAGAAAUUAGGGGUAACAGUCGAUUAAAAAUACCAAUCUCAGUCAGCUGAACCAAUUUAAUCUUUCAAUUCUACCGAUUUACAUACGUAAAUUUACAUAUACGUUUACACAAAAAGCUCAAUUUACCGUAGAAGAGUGUGUGUGUGUGUGUGUGUGUGUCUGUGUCUGAAUUAGAAAAAGAUACCUUAACAGCAGAAAUCGAGCUCUCUCUGUAGCUAUCACACAGAACUCCAUCGAUAUCCAACGGAUACAGAUCCCCCAUUUCUCUCUCUUUCUAAUCCAGUCGGUAGGAAACAACUGGAGAGCUUGAACUUGUCGUUGCAGUCCAAUAGAUUCCAACUGAAAGCCUUGAUUUUUGGCCUCGUUUGUUGUCGACGGCGGCAGCAAAAAACGGAAGUUGGAGGAUUAUAAGCGUUAUAGAAGUUGGAAGAUCCUUGAAGAUGAUAACGAAGAUAACACAAAAACUUGAUUUAGUGCUGGAAAGUUAGAGUUUGAGUAGAAAUACCUAUACCAGAAGCAACCUCGUCCAGUAUCGAUGUCAUUAGCCCUGUUUCGUCUCUCUAUCGAAGGUUUUUAUACAGGUAACCCCUAAUUUUCGUUUUCAGAAAUUACCCACAAUCAUAUGUUGAUUAUCGGCUGAGAAGGAGGUUCGGAUUUAAUCUGUGAUUUCAGAGAAGCGCCACCGUUGGUGGUAUCUGGAAAAUUAGGAACAUGUAGAAGUUAACAAUCGGGUGGAGAUAGAGAAAAAAAGGAAAGAGGGACGAUGCUAUAAUUGCAAAGCGGUUGGAGGUAGCGAAUAGUCUUUGAUCGAGAGAGAGAUGAUAAUUUGUAACACUUUGAUUGGAGAACAAAACGGUGGAGAAAGAGAAAGCGGACACGUAUCUGUAAGUAAGACUUGCCGGCC